UGAGUACAGGACCCAGGAGGAAGGCCCAGC
Molecule: non-coding RNA, 30 nt
Filed under: Homo sapiens (human)
Lineage: Eukaryota; Metazoa; Chordata; Mammalia; Primates; Hominidae
Source: RNAcentral